This 260-nucleotide ribosomal RNA is filed under the name uncultured prokaryote. RNAcentral's name for it is "partial 16S ribosomal RNA". It matches the Rfam family "Bacterial small subunit ribosomal RNA", at positions 524 to 782 of the family's 1533-position model. The record is from RNAcentral.
UACGUAGGGUGCGAGCGUUGUCCUGAAUUACUGGGCGUAAAGAGCUCGUAGGUGGUUUGUCGCGUCGUCUGUGAAAUUCCGGGGCUUAACCUCGGGCGUGCAGGCGAUACGGGCAAUACUUGAGUGCUGUAGGGGAGACUGGAAUUCCUGGUGUAGCGGUGAAAUGCGCAGAUAUCAGGAGGAACACCAAUGGCGAAGGCAGGUCUCUGGGCAGUUACUGACGCUGAGGAGCGAAAGCAUGGGUAGCGAACAGGAUUAGA